GAUGAACGCUAGCGGGAGGCCUAACACAUGCAAGCCGAGCGGUAUUGUUUCGUCGGAGAUGAGAGAGCGGCGGACGAGUGCGUAACACGUGUGCAAGCUGCCUGUAUCUGGGGGAUAGCCUUUCUAAAGGAAGAUUAAUACUCCAUAAUAUAGUGAACGGCAUCGUUUAAUAUUGAAAGCUCGUGCGGAUAGAGAUGGGCACGCGCGCGAUUAGCUAGUUGGUGAGGUAACUGCUGACCAAGCCGAUGAUCUUUAGGGCGCCGGCGAGUGUGAUCCCCCAGAGUGGGACUGGGACAAGGAGCAGACUGCUACGGGACGCAGUAGUGAGGAAGAUUGGUCAAGGGGUGCAAGCCUGAAGCAGCCAUCCCGCGUGAAGGAAGACUGCGUGAGGGGUUGUAACCUUCUGUUGUAUAGGGACAAACGCAUCUGAGAGAGGGUAGCUGAAGGUAAUAGAUGAAUAAGCACCGGCUAACUCCGUG
This 479-nucleotide ribosomal RNA is filed under the name uncultured bacterium. RNAcentral's name for it is "partial 16S ribosomal RNA". It matches the Rfam family "Bacterial small subunit ribosomal RNA", at positions 28 to 507 of the family's 1533-position model. The record is from RNAcentral.